CACUCUAAGCGGUGAAUCACUCGGCUCAUGGAUCGAUGAAGAACGCAGCAAACUGUGCGUCAUCGUGUGAACUGCAGGACACAUGAACAGCCACAUUUUGAACGCAUGUCGCAGUCCAUGGUGUAAGGUACUUUAAUUAUAUUUUGAAGUGCUGCUUGGACUACAUAUGGUUGAGGGUUG
Non-coding RNA from Glossina morsitans morsitans, 180 nucleotides. The record is from Rfam. NCBI's taxonomy places the organism in Eukaryota, Metazoa, Arthropoda, Insecta, Diptera, Glossinidae.